ACCAUCCUUGUCUGGGGAGCGAACUGCCCGAGGAUCGUCUAGUGAGGGUACGUUUGCUGAAACUAGACAAUUUGAAAACUCGCAUCCCGUCUUCGGGCGGAGGUGCAAUUUUUAGAACU
Molecule: small nuclear RNA, 119 nt
Organism: Homalodisca vitripennis (glassy-winged sharpshooter)
Lineage: Eukaryota; Metazoa; Arthropoda; Insecta; Hemiptera; Cicadellidae
Product: U4atac minor spliceosomal RNA
Exons: 1
Source: RefSeq, a predicted model, not a curated record